AAAAAUCCUACCCCAAAACACAAAUAUUGAAAUCAGGCAACCAAACAUAAACCCUAAAUUUCAAAACCCCCAAAUCCCGCUUCACAAAUUCAUCAAACAUGGACAUCGAUGUAUCCGGAUGGAUCCUCGAAUUCCUCCUCCGUCAAAACUCACUCACCGAUCAAACCCUAAACAAUCUCAUUCGUGUCCUUCCACUUCCAAACACAAACCCUAGGCUCAAAAAGGCCUUAAUUUUGCGUAAACUCCAAUCCGACAUCCAAAACGCCACAAUUUCCGAACGCACAAUCGGAUAUCUCGAACAAAUCGAACAAUUAGACCAUAAUUCAUCACCUUCUACCGUUUCCGAAGCCAUGAAAGCAGCUUACUGCACAGUUAUGAUGCACUGUACUUCAAAAUUGAUUGAGGAAACUGCAGGUGAUAAGAAGGUUAAGUAUUAUACAGCUGUGAAGAGGUUGUGGAGUGUUAGGGUUUGUGAAAUGGAAAGGUGUGGGGUGCAAUUGGUUCAUGAUGAUUUAGUGCGUUGGGUGCAUGAUGUUGAGGCUGGGGUUUUGGAUGUGGAUGUUUGUGAAAAUGUUUUGAAAAUGGUUUUGGAUUCGGAUGUGGUGAAGUGUGUUGGGAGGUAUGUUAAUGAGGCGUGGGAGACGAUGGGACCGUCGUUUUUAGAGUUGGCGUGUGAGACGGUGUUGAAUGAUGAUGGAUUAAGUGAAGCUAUGGGGUUGUUGGAUGAAGUUGCACAACUUAGAAGUGACACAUUAAGGGCUCAUGAAGAGGAAGUUUCCAAACUCAAUAAUCAAAGUAAAGACAGUGCACCAACAGAUGAUGCUGGUGCUAAUAGCAAGGGUAAUGAAGCAAUGAAGGCUCACGUGCCACCUACACACAAGCAUGUUGUUUCAAGACGCAGUAGAAGAGCUAAAAUCGUUGAUACCAUGGAAGCUUCUCACGACAAAUAUGAUUACAUUCCUAGCCCAGAAGUGAGUAAAGUACAAGAAGCCCUUGAGUCAAGUACUUUCGAACUACAUGCAGCGGUGAAGGACCCGCUUCCGGAUGCAUUACGCCUUGCAGAGUCUUUAAAAGUCGGCACGAGUGGAGAAAAUGCGGCUCAUGAUCUUGCUGGAGGUAAUGUUACCAGUGUCAAUGAUAAAGCUCCAAGUUCCUCACAUGAUAGGAAGGGUAAAGCUCUAGAAGCCGAUGGAGAUGAUGAUACCGUCAAGGAUCAAAACAAAAGGAUCAAACCUAGCUUAUUUGAACGGAAUCACACUGCUCAUACUACUGAGUGGAGUGACUCCAUUGAUACAUCCGAGGAAGGGUCACCGACAAGGCCUCACUUGCCUAGCCCCCAAAAGAGAAAGGUCUCACCGUUAAACAUUUACAAAAUGGAAAAACUCGUAAGACAGAGAAAGAAAAAAAGAUGGUCUCCCUUGGAGGAAGACACGUUGAGGACCGGUGUGCAAAAGUAUGGCAAAGGAAACUGGAAGCUGAUCUUAAGUAUGUACCGUGACAUCUUUGAAGACAGAACUGAGGUUGAUUUGAAGGACAAAUGGAGAAAUUUGACACGCUAGCGACUAUCAAUUCUCGCUGUUUACAAGUUAGAACCAAAUAUUGCCCUGUGAAGCCUCGGUUUGUGGAUUGAUUAGAUAUGCGUUGUAAAACAAAUCAAAGGUUCAAGCAUAUGAUUAUAACAGGAGCCAGCUUUGCUGUAAGCUUCGUGUCUUCUUUAUAAGAGAUUCAAGAAAGUAGUCAUUUUUGCGGAUAUUAUGUAUGUAUGUGUUAGUAAUGAAUUACGCUCAUACCCUAGAGUUAUGCGAUACCAUGGUCACACAUUUCACUUUAUUCCAUCAAACGUCGAUAAAAAUUGUGUAGUACUAGCAGGACCUUGCUUCAUGUGCAUCACCUUUCUUUUGCAUAUAAAUAGCCAGACUCGCGUAAUGACCCUUUUUUUA
This is an RNA transcript of Helianthus annuus (common sunflower), 1940 nucleotides long. RefSeq lists it as uncharacterized. The record is from RefSeq and is a predicted model, not a curated record. Lineage: Eukaryota; Viridiplantae; Streptophyta; Magnoliopsida; Asterales; Asteraceae. The transcript is spliced from 7 exons.